Molecule: ribosomal RNA, 470 nt
Filed under: uncultured bacterium
Lineage: Bacteria
Description: bacterial SSU rRNA
Rfam family: Bacterial small subunit ribosomal RNA
Source: RNAcentral
AGAGUUUGAUCAUGGCUCAGAACGAACGCUGGCGGCAGGCUUAACACAUGCAAGUCGAACGCCCCGCAAGGGGAGUGGCAGACGGGUGAGUAACGCGUGGGAAUCUACCCAAUCCUUCGGAAUAGCUCCGGGAAACUGGAAUUAAUACCGAGUACGCCCUACGGGGGAAAGAUUUAUCGGGGUUGGAUGAGCCCGCGUUGGAUUAGCUAGUUGGUGGGGUAAUGGCCUACCAAGGCGACGAUCCAUAGCUGGUCUGAGAGGACGACCAGCCACACUGGGACUGAGACACGGCCCAGACUCCUACGGGAGGCAGCAGUGGGGAAUCUUGGACAAUGGGCGCAAGCCUGAUCCAGCCAUGCCGCGUGGAUGAUGAAGGCCCUAGGGUUGUAAAAUCCUUUCGUUGGGGACGAUAAUGACGGUACCCAAAGAAGAAGCUCCGGCUAACUUCGUGCCAGCCGCCGCGGUAAUAC